UACCCCAGGUACCUAGAUAACCAUCAAUGUCAGUCUCAUACCCCAGGUACCUAGAUAACCAUCAGUGUCAGUCCCAUACCCCAGGUACCUAGAUAACCAUCAGUGUCAGUCUCAUACCCCAGGUACCUAAAUAACCAUCAGUGUUAGUCCCAUACCCCAGGUACCUAGAUAACCAUCAGUGUCAGUCCCAUACCCCAGGUACCUAGAUAACCAUCAGUGUCAGUCUCAUACCCCAGGUACCUAGAUAACCAUCAGUGUCAGUCCCAUACCCCAAGUACCUAGAUAACCAUCAGUGUUAGUCCCAUAAACCCCCGGUACCUAGAUAACCAUCAGUGUCAGUCCCAUACCCCAGGUACCUAGAUAACCAUCAGUGUCAGUCCCAUACCCCAGGUACCUAGAUAACCAUCAGUGUUAGUCCCAUACCCCAGGUACCUAGAUAACCAUCAGUGUCAGUCCCAUACCCCAGGUACCUAGAUAACCAUCAGUGUCAGUCCCAUACCCCAGGUACCUAGAUAACCAUCAGUGUCAGUCUCAUACCCCAGGUACCUAGAUAACCAUCAGUGUCAGUCCCAUACCCCAGGUACCUAGAUAACCAUCAGUGUCAGUCUCAUACCCCAGGUACCUAGAUAACCAUCAGUGUCAGUCUCAUACCCC
This is a non-coding RNA of Cherax quadricarinatus, 654 nucleotides long. Lineage: Eukaryota; Metazoa; Arthropoda; Malacostraca; Decapoda; Parastacidae. The record is from RefSeq and is a predicted model, not a curated record.